GAUGAACGCUGGCGGCGUGCUUAACACAUGCAAGUCGAGCGAAGCAGUUAAGUUGAUUUCUUCGGAUUGAUUCUUAAUUGACUGAGCGGCGGACGGGUGAGUAACGCGUGGGUGACCUGCCCCAUAACGGGGGAUAACAGCUGGAAACGGCUGCUAAUACCGCAUAAGCGCACAGAGCUGCAUGGCGCGGUGUGAAAAACUCCGGUGGUAUGGGAUGGGCCCGCGUCUGAUUAGGCAGUUGGCGGGGUAACGGCCCACCAAACCGACGAUCAGUAGCCGGCCUGAGAGGGCGACCGGCCACAUUGGGACUGAGACACGGCCCAAACUCCUACGGGAGGCAGCAGUGGGGAAUAUUGCACAAUGGGGGAAACCCUGAUGCAGCGACGCCGCGUGAGCGAAGAAGUAUUUCGGUAUGUAAAGCUCUAUCAGCAGGGAAGAUAAUGACGGUACCUGACUAAGAAGCCCCGGCUAACUACGUGCCAGCCGCCGCUGUAA
This 495-nucleotide ribosomal RNA is filed under the name uncultured bacterium. RNAcentral describes it as "partial 16S ribosomal RNA". It matches the Rfam family "Bacterial small subunit ribosomal RNA", at positions 28 to 523 of the family's 1533-position model. The record is from RNAcentral.